RNAcentral lists this ribosomal RNA (468 nucleotides) under uncultured bacterium. RNAcentral's name for it is "partial 16S ribosomal RNA". It matches the Rfam family "Bacterial small subunit ribosomal RNA", at positions 28 to 507 of the family's 1533-position model. The record is from RNAcentral.
GAUGAACGCUGGCGGCGUGCUUAACACAUGCCAGUCGAACGGAAAGGCCCCUCCUUGGUGGGGUGCUCGAGUGGCGAACGGGUGAGUAACACGUGGGUAACCUGCCCUUCACUUUGGGAUAACUCCAGGAAACUGGGUCUAAUACCGGAUAGGAGCAUCUGCUGCAUGCUGUGGUUGGGAGUGUUUCGGCGGGGGGGGAUGUCCUCGCGGCUUAUCAGCUUGUUGGUGGGGUAGUGGCUUACCAAGGCGUUGACGGGUAGCCGGCCUGAGAGGGUGAACGGCCACAUUGGGACUGAGAUACGGCCCAGACUCCUACGGGAGGCAGCAGUGGGGAAUAUUGCACAAUGGGCGGAAGCCUGAUGCAGCAACGCCGCGUGCGGGAUGACGGCCUUCGGGUUGUAAACCGCUUUCGCCAGGGACGAAGCGCAAGUGACGGUAAUGGGUGAAGAAGCACCGGCUAACUACGUG